GAGCACAUGGCGCGCCUUUCGUCCAUGAACAAGGCCUACAAGUCCUUCAUCGGGAUGGGGUACUACAACACCCAUAUCCCGGCGGUCAUCCUGCGCAACCUCAUGGAGAACCCCGCGUGGUACACCCAGUACACGCCCUACCAGGCGGAGAUCGCGCAGGGCCGUCUCGAGUCGCUGCUCAAUUACCAGACCAUGGUCGCCGACCUCACCGGCCUGCCCAUGUCCAACGCCUCUCUGCUUGACGAGGCCACCGCCGCCGCCGAGGCCAUGGCCAUGUGCAAUGGAAUCCUAAAGUCCAAGAAGAAGACCUUCCUCAUCGCGUCCAACUGCCACCCGCAGACCAUCGACAUCUGCCAGACGCGCGCCGCCGGGUUCGACCUCAACGUCGUAGUCUCGGCCGCCAAGGACUUCGACUACAGCAGCGGCGACGUAUGCGGCGUGCUUGUGCAGUACCCAGGCACGGAAGGGGAGGUGCUGGAUUAUGCGGAGUUCGUCAAGGACGCGCACGCGCACGGCGUCAAGGUGGUGAUGGCUACCGACCUGCUCGCGCUCACCACGCUGCGCCCCCCUGGCGAAAUUGGGGCCGAUAUCGCCGUGGGCUCCGCGCAACGCUUCGGCGUGCCGAUGGGGUACGGCGGCCCACACGCUGCAUUCCUCGCCACUUCUCAGGAGUACAAGCGUCUGAUGCCAGGCCGCAUCAUCGGGGUGAGCGUCGACUCCAGCGGCAAGCCCGCGCUCCGCAUGGCGAUGCAGACCAGGGAGCAGCACAUCCGGCGCGACAAGGCCACCAGCAACAUCUGCACCGCUCAGGUACGCACGCACUCCACCCACUCACCAAAUUGCCUAACAGUGACAUCCACAGUAAUAUUGCCUUUUUUAUUCAGCAAAAGGUAUAUUUUUCGACGAAAUAUUUUUUUAUUUAGCAAAAGGUAUAUUGCCACAAGUAGUGAUGAAGAUACUUUGUGAUCAACUUUAUAGGCCUUGCUCGCCAACAUGGCGGCGAUGUAUGCCGUGUACCAUGGUCCUGCGGGGCUGAAAGCUAUUGCUGACCGUGUCCAUGGCCUGGCUGGUACUUUCGCCCACGGGUUGAAGAAACUUGGAACAGUGACAGUGCAGGAGCUACCAUACUUUGACACUGUCAAGGUCACUUGCGCUGAUGCGAAUGCCAUUGCUGAGGAGGCUCGCAAAAACGAGAUGAACCUUCGCGUAGUUGACGCAAACACGGUUCGUUUUCCUUGAUGUUGUCUGUUUGAGUACAACAAGGUAGUCGACCUCUGAGUUUUGAGCAUUAACUUCAAGUUGUGAUGUUAUAGAUUACUGUUGCCUUCGAUGAGACCACCACCUUGGAGGAUGUUGACAAGCUGUUCAAGGUGUUCUCUGGUGGCAAGCCAGUAAGUGGUCAUUCCAUCAGUGCAAAAUAUGUGUUUCUGAUGUGAAAUUAUAACACAUGCUAAAUGAUUUUCCACCACAAACACUUUCAGGUGGACUUCACAGCUGAAUCCAUUGCACCUGAGGUCUCAAGCUCAAUUCCUAGUAGCCUUGUGCGCAACAGCCCCUACCUAACUCACCCAAUCUUUAGCAUGUACGUGUGGUGCCAAACUUUGCAUCUUUGCUUCAUUAAUUUUAUUUUAUUUUCCAAACGAGGGCACUGCACAUAGAGCACGAGCUUCACUACUUUGGUAGUGUGUAUGAAAUAAAUUCAAAUUAUCUUGUCUGGCCUUGCAGGUACCACACAGAGCAUGAGCUUCUUCGGUACCUGCACAAGUUGCAAUCCAAGGAUCUCUCACUGUGCCACAGUAUGAUCCCUCUUGGUUCUUGCACCAUGAAACUAAACGCUACUGUUGAGAUGAUGCCUGUCACUGAUCCCAACUUCGCAAACAUGCACCCAUUUGCCCCUAUUGACCAGGCUGCAGGCUAUCAUGUAAGGAUCAUUCACUAUUUGUUUGGUUUCUAAUGGCAAACUAUCCUAAUAAGACUAUCUAGAAGUUCUGAAAUGACUUGUUUUGUGGUGCAGGAAAUGUUUGAUAACUUGGGCGAGCUGUUGAACACGAUCACCGGUUUCGAUUCUUUCUCUUUGCAACCAAAUGCUGGUGCUUCAGGAGAGUAUGCUGGGCUGAUGGUUAUUCGUGCUUACCACAGGGUAUGUUAUGAUAAAUAUAUUGCGCUAGUCCUCUUGCUGCUCAUCCAGCCGUUACAGAGUCUUUUUCCUUAGUUCAUUCGUUGCUCACAAACCAUGUAAAAAAUGCAGUCAAGAGGAGACCACCACCGAAAUGUCUGCAUCAUUCCUGUCUCGGCGCAUGGUACAAAUCCUGCAAGUGCUGCUAUGUGUGGAAUGAAAAUUGUUGCUGUUGGAACUGAUUCCAAAGGUAACAUUAACAUUGAGGAGUUGAGGAAAGCUGCUGAAGCAAAUAAGGACAACUUGUCUGCUCUGAUGGUACUUCUUCUAUGCUCUGUUAAUAUGAGAAGUUAUCAUGGCUUUUGAACAAACUUUUACUCUUUCAGGUUAAAUUUUAUUGCUAAAUUUUGAUCUGGAGUUCUGAUGCUAUACUAUCACUGCAUGGCCUUAUCGUUAUAUUAAGUGUGAUAGGGCAAAUUAAGAGUUUUAUGUUAUUGCAGCUUGUAAUACAUUACUAUAUAAUUAAAACGAGGUGAAAGGAACCACCACUUUGCUCUCAGGGCUAGCAAUUCCCACAUUAAUGAGAAGAAAAAGAGGAAAAUAUAUACCUCCUCUUUCUGGUGGUUCCAGAUUUUUCUAUGGUGCGGAAUAAUUAAUUAGAUGGAAGUAUAUUAUAGUAUCUACCUGUGCAUGGAAACUCGAGUAGUAUAUGUUAAGAUAGAAAUCAGACAGCUGCUUCAUAGCACUUCCCUCUAAUGGUUCCUGGUCAUAUAUUUGAAUCAAUCAACAAUUCAACAUAUAAUGGAAGCAUAUGUCCAGAUACUUUAUUUUUUGUACUGAAACUUAUAAAGCUAGAGACGUAAUUGGAGACGUGAAACGCAUGUGUCAACUAUAUAUGCAUAGAAACUAAGAAAUUGCAGCCUGAAAAGGUAUAAACAUUUUAGUCAUACUUAGGAUCAUGAAAACUUAGAUAAACAUGCACGAAACAUUCAGUCAAAACAUGUAUAUCAUAGUAUGAUCUGCGGGUGUUUUGAGAGGAAAGCACAAGGCAAGGAUUAGGGCCACUAAUUAAUUAGUCAUUAUUAGGGAGUAACUGUAUGUCAAGGUUCCAACUGAAAUUCUCAGCCUGUGGAUCUGAUUUUCUUGGAUUGACAAGAUUGAUUGGGUCACAUCCAACUCGUACUCCUUAUAUAGGUAUGGAGAUAUGGUGCACGAAUAGAGUAACUGAUUUCGAAUCAUGGAAAAUGUUGAGUUCACUGAGGAUGAUUGUUUAUUACUUAUUUAGAGAAACAUUUGUGUUAUAUUUGCUUUGUGUCAAGAAUAACAUUAUGGCACGACUAUGUUAUUGUUCAGGUUACCUAUCCUUCAACCCAUGGAGUCUAUGAAGAAGGCAUUGAUGAGAUAUGCAGGAUCAUUCAUGAGAACGGCGGGCAGGUCUAUAUGGAUGGAGCUAACAUGAAUGCUCAGGUUAGUUCUUUGCACUUUGUUGUACCACCUUGUCUAUUUGUUCUUUCUGCAAUUGCUCCCUUAAAGUGCCUAAUACGAAUGGAUUGGAACACUUCAUGCUGGUCCUCAGACUGUAUAGAUAUCUUUCCAACAUAUGAUGAAGUUUAAUCCAAAACAAAUUGUGAACUACAAAUCCUUCUACUCCCUCCCAUCUGAUUUAAUUGUCACGGGUUUAGGCAAAACUUUGCCUAAACCUGCAACAAUUAAAUUGGAUCGCAGGGAGUAUUAAAUUUGUUUUACCUAAUUUUUUAUUUGUUUGUUAUCUUUUUAAAAAAUGGUGAUGACUAUGCAUGCCAAGCUAUGUUUUAUGUACUCCUUCUGAUCCAUAAUAAGUGUCAGGAAUUUAGUACAAAGUUACUUUGUACUAAAUCCCCGGCACUUAUUAUGGAUCAGAGGGAGUAAGAAAAUAUUAACUUUGUACUAAAUCCCCGGCACUUAUUAUGGAUCGGAGGGAGUAAGAAAAUAUCUAAUCAAGUUCGCCUGAACCUAGUUGAGUAAUUGCGAUUUGGAAAUUUCAGAUCCCAUAUUAGUUAUGAUACUGAGAAAAAUAAUAUAGUUUUUUUCUUGAAUCCGUAUGUGUCAUUUUCAUUACUAGACAAAAAUCGCAAAGAUGGCGAGAGGUCUUACAAGCGAACAAAAAACAAAUAAUCCACUGUAACAUACAAACGUUGUCUUAUUACAGGUUGGGUUGACAAGCCCUGGUUUUAUUGGAGCAGAUGUUUGCCAUUUAAACCUUCACAAGACAUUUUGUAUUCCUCAUGGUGGAGGUGGUCCUGGCAUGGGUCCUAUUGGUGUUAAGAAGCACUUGGCACCAUUUUUACCAUCUCAUCCAGUGGUAGGUGUCCUGACUUAUUUUAUCAGUCCAAUCAAAUCACAUUAUUCAGAUUUGUAUCCUAACAAUAUAGUAAAACCCAUUGUUCAAUACUUAACUUGAAGAGAUUGAUAUUCGAAAGUUUGUUGUCUCUUCCUUUCCUGUCCCUUUGCGACCUUUAAAUAUUAAGUAAGUGUGUGAUGAUGAUUGGUUAUGAGCUAACUACUCAGGCUAUGCUUUAGAUGCUGAUUACUAUAACCAAAAGUGUCAAUCAUUUCUUUGCUUGGCUUAUGCUGUUUAAUUCACAAGCGAAUGCAAAGCCAAUAUCAGACUAAUUCUGUAAUCAAUAGAUACCUACUGGUGGCUUUCCUCUGCCCGAGAAAACCGACCCUCUUGGUUCCAUUUCUGCUGCUCCAUGGGGAUCUGCUUUGAUUCUUCCAAUUUCCUACACAUACAUAGCCAUGAUGGGCUCUCAAGGACUCACUGAAGCUUCAAAGAUUGCGAUCUUGAAUGCAAACUACAUGGCAAAGCGUCUGGAGGUACUUGAUGUUGCACAUGCCAACAAACCCUCUGCUACAAUUUUUGGUUAUGGUUGAACUACUUUCUAAAUCCUACAUUAUAAUGAAUUUUGCAGAAGCACUACCCGGUUCUUUUCCGUGGAGUCAAUGGAACUGUUGCCCAUGAAUUCAUUAUUGACUUAAGAGGGUUUAAGGUACUUAUCCGAACCAUGUUAGCACUUGAACCAUGCAUAGUUGUAGGCCAUUUCAAUUCUCUAACUGGAUCUUGGAAAUCUUGACAGGCAACUGCUGGUAUAGAGCCUGAGGAUGUGGCAAAGCGCUUGAUGGACUAUGGAUUCCACGGACCAACCAUGUCAUGGCCUGUUCCAGGCACACUUAUGAUUGAACCCACUGAAAGCGAAAGCAAGGUAAAUAUGUCUAUAUCUGUUGAUUGCCAUUGCAACAACAAUUGGUUUUUACAUUAGCUUACUGCUACACAACAUGCAGGCUGAACUAGACAGGUUCUGUGAUGCCCUUAUCUCAAUCAGGGAAGAAAUUGCAGAGGUAGAAAAUGGCAAAGCAGAUGCGCACAACAAUGUCCUGAAGGUAAUGUACUCCAAAUAGUCACAGUAAAUUACUAAAACCUUUACAUAUCCACCCACAGUCUACAAGUUGAAUAGAUCUUGCUAAAUCCUAAACCUUCUUUUUAAAUGCCGUCUGCAACUUACGAGAUGGUAGCGCAUGAACAGUGGAGUUGAGGUGCUUGCCUGUUUUUUUACGCAGGGCGCUCCUCACCCACCCCAACUCCUGAUGAGCGAUGCAUGGACUAAGCCGUACUCUAGGGAGUACGCCGCGUUCCCUGCGGCUUGGCUUCGGGGCGCCAAGUUCUGGCCAACAACAUGUACUGAUAGCUCAAAAAUCCUUCUCGUUACUUUUUUUUUUGGCAUAUAAGCUAAGUACCUGCGUUCUGCUCUUGGCAGGUCGUGUGGACAACGUGUACGGGGACCGCAACCUUAUCUGCACUCUGCAGCAGGCGUCCCAAGUGACAGAAGAAGCUGCAGCUGCAGCUGCUACCGCGUAAUCUUUCAGAUGAUGACGAUCCAGGGUUGUGAAACAGUGUCAAGAAGUUAUAAUGCUUCCUGUAGGAUGGAGGCGUGCUUGCUUCUCAAAUCUCUCAUGUACUGUAUAUAUUUUCCUCAGAUGCCACCAUCUCAUGUAUCUCUGUACUCCAUUGCCUCCCCCCAUUCCCAUUUAAAGUGAAAUUAGCUGUAUUGGCUAGCAUUUAUACUCCUCUCUCAAUACAAGAAAAAUAAUUGAGAUCUGUUUAUGCUCCUAGCCGUACAUAUAUAAGGAAGGAAAAUUAAUUAUUUUGACGAUGUAUCUGGUGCAAACCUUUAUUCCGUGUAAGUUUGCAACCUAUCUGGAUGGACCAUCGGAUCUGAUGAGAAUCGCACAAUCUAUACAACCGUAGACCGUAGACAACUCUUGAGAACCUCGUAUUUAACGCUAGUUCUUCGAUUUGGAAGGCUAAGUUCAGAAAGCCAGGAAUAAAAGUAAUAAGGGAAAAAAGCAAGGAAAACGAAUCCAUCACCUAACCGAUCCACUGAUCGGAUCGGCUAGGUGUGUUCGGACAGUUCGCCCUACGCUCUCCCGUCUUCCUCCGUUCAAUACUCUCUCACUUGUUUAUUCAAUUGCGCCUUGCCUUUUGUUCUCACCACUCUUCAUCUUGUCCUCAUCCAGCUCUUUACUUGAGACUUUCUUCCACCGUCAUAUGUUCUAACUACAUUUUACUCAUUACAUAAUUUAAAAGACAUGCAAAAUUAAUUCAUAUAUAUAUAUAUAUACUCCUUCCGAUAUAUAAUAAGUGUAUUGAAGGAGCAAAUAAAGGAGCGUACUCCCAAUUAAAUUUAUGCAACUAAAGCUACCAAGGUUCAAACAGCAUGGCACAAAAAAAGGAGCAGAAGUUCAAAAACAAGACUGAACAUCAAAGCUCAAGCCUCAACAGCACUCAGUUAUCAAGCGAAACUACUUAAGGUAUGAACAGACAGAAGUUCAUCCAACUCCAAUCCUCUUGGUCACUGGCUGCCAUCGAAAACGAGCACGAAAUUCCUCGUGAAAAAAAAACAAGCAUGAAAUUCCUCAGUCGCCGCUUCAAAAAAUAACACGUCGCGUAGCAUAUAAUUUUUUUCAGAGAAGAGAAAAACCCCAAUUGGAUUAAGUGUGAUUUUUGACAAACACAAAAUAUGACAAAAGUUACACAAUUCAAACUGCAUUCUCAUCGGCCUCACCAAGCAACUAACGAACAAAAAGCGGCAGCGAAGACUCGCGCGCGCGGUGCCUGACGUGCGCCUACCAUUUGUGCCCAUCCAGUACAGCCCAGCCGAGGGCUCCAGGCCUCCAGGUCCAGGUGCACGCACCUCCCCUGUCCCCUGUUCUCUCCCUCUCUCUCCACUUUCCUCUUUAACUGCGCCUCCCCAGCUUGUGCUACUCCCCCAAGCGAAGCGAGGCACUCACUUCCUCAAUCCUCAUUCACGCUUGGCCCGUACGGCAAGAGGCGACGCGGCGCCCAAUCUAGUUAACCCCCCGCGGCCACCGGAUCGGGGAGGACCCUGCCUUCCCCUGGCGAUUCUCCUGUGAGCUCCCUUCUCAAUCUAUUGUCUCUUCUUUUGUUCGAUUGAUUCGUAGUGUGCUUGUAUUUUAGGGCCAUUUUAGGAGCUAUGAUGCCUUUUCCCCCUUUGCCAACUGAAACGGGAAACCGCUACUAGAUUUUGAAACAACAGUUACUGUCUUGUGAUUCACCCUGCUUCAGCAUCCUGUGAAAUGAAAUGUGUGCUUUAGAACAUGCCAAGGAAGAUUUUCUACAGUUGGAUUGGACGUCGGUCUGAUAUUUAGCAUCACUGCAUCAGAUGUAGUUGUAGAAAUCGCUUUACUAGUUCAUACAGCUAGGCGCAAAAUCGGUAGUAAGCUCAUCGCUACGGCUCGAGCAACUCCCUACAAUCUGUGCAUUUCAUCAAUCGAUGGCAGCCAGUGGAUUUGGGAUGGAGAGAGGAUGCGUGGCUUCUGGACACUAAAUGUACUCUUGUUUCAACCAUUUCUACCAGUUCCUUGGUAUUCCUUGCCAACCUGAUCUUAUGUUGUUCAAACGCCUCAUCCCCCUAUAUUGCCAUAUGGAUUUACAAUGAUGCUCAAGUGCUUUAUGUGUUUCAUCAUAACUGUCCUCAGCUCACCAUGCGCAUAGACCAAGUAAGAACUAAUCUAAUAAAAGUUACGUAGAAAGGACUUUGCCCUUGUCAAAUGGCAUCCUUCAUCGAGGUGGAACCAUUGCAGUAUUGGUUUCCUCAACGAACAGUUCUUGUAAGCGACAACAGCUACAGGGAAACGGGGGAAGUAGUGAACUGGAACUAAUUAUAAUUCUUCAUCCUUUUUUCCCCAAAGCAGGGGGCCUAAUUUUAUUGCCUCUUUCUUUUCAGCCAAGGUCAACAGUCAAGAGAUGGAAAUUAGCCACAUUUGAUUUUGCAUAAGUUCAGGGAGCACUAGGUGUUAACGGAAGUAUUUUCCUCGAUGGAGGUUGAAGCAGAUUUUGAUGUUGAAGAUUCCAGAUCAAACAAUGAACUGCAGGAGUUGUGUCCAGUUGGCGAGAUAGAUCCUAGGAGAGGAAGAUUCCCUUAUUGCAUUGUCUGGACUCCUCUUCCUGUAGUUUCAUGGCUUGCUCCUUAUAUAGGGCAUGUUGGAAUCUGCCAGGAGGAUGGAUCUGUCCUGGAUUUUGCUGGUUCAAAUUUAGUGAGCAUGGAUAAUUUCGCGUAUGGUUCGGUUGCCAGAUACCUUCAACUUGACAGAAAUAAGGUAUAUGAGAUUUCAAAUUUUUUAUUUUCCUCUAAGGAAAAAAAAUAUUAUUAACUCAAAUUUCGUUGGCCUCUUAUGCUUUAUUAAUCUUUAUUGAACUGCUUCUAAGAUUUCUCAUAUUUACUUUCUUAGUGGAAAAUGUCUACUAGCCUCCUGUGGGACAUGCUUCCCUGUUGACAUAUUUACUUGCAAUAUUUAUUUUCACAUGUAGUUCCUGUAAGGUGCAAGAUACAAGCCCUCUUCCUUCAUGAAAGAAUGUUUCGUGAUUUAUCAUUCUUUAAACAGUAAAAAAUUACAAUUUAAUACCUAGACUUAGUAUCAUUUAAACAGUGAAACAUUUGGGCUGGGGACACUGAACCUGAGACUCCAGCAAGCUAUCACAGACAGAGCAUGGCUGGAGUGAUUUUUUUCGAGAACUUAUGGUUGUAAGCAUUGAGAAUCUUAUCAUCAUUUCCAGGUUCUUUUAGUAACAGUGUUAUUUAUACAGAGUUAGUGCAACAUCACGCAGAUUAUCUUCCUGCUGAUUCGCAGAUUCCCUUUUUGGCAGAUUCCCUUAAGUUGCAAAUAUUGUUCAAUAAUCUUGUUAAGUAUCAAUCCUUAUUUUUGCAAAACCUACUUGUGUUGUCAUUUUUAUUUCUGUGCUUUCCUUUCGAAUAGACAAUUUCUCGUUGACGUACUCUUGUUUUGUUCAUCACCAGUGCUGCUUUCCUGCUAAUCUCAUGGCACAUGUAUGCAAGUGGUCCUACAAGCACGCAGAAGUUGGAACAGCAACUUCAUGGGAUGCUGCCCUACAACUGGGGACGAGAAAUUUCCAGCACAAGUACUACAAUCUGUUCACCUGCAAUUGCUACUCAUUUGUGGCAAACUGCCUGAACCGGCUUGCCUACAGCGGAUACGUGGAGUGGAAUGUUUUGAACGUGGCCGCUCUUGUUUGGCUGCACGGCGAAUGGGUGGACAACAUGUCUAUCGUUCGAUCAUUCUCUCCGUUCCUAAUUGUGACAUGCAUCGGUGUUUUUAUGGCUGGCUGGUCUUUCUUAAUCGGGACAGUAGCAUUCUCUUCUCUUCUGAUUGGGUGGUUUGUCUUUGCUGUAUACUGCUCAAAAGGUUUGGUGCGCUGAUUAAUUUAUAACAUUACGGCUGAACCCUGUGAGUUGUUGAAGUAAUCUGUUCGUGGCCAUUUUCAUUCUCAUGAUUAUUCAGUUGAAUUGAAACUCAUUGAAAGAAUUCACCUGCUACAUCUGGAUUAUAGGGCCCAAACCAAAGGUGAGGCCACAUCACCAUUGUCAACUCCUAUCUGUCGAUGGUGCGAAUGAUCUAUUGGUUGAGAAUGAUUCUCUGGUUUAGCACCCGGUUGUGCGCAUAGAACGUGUUGCUCUAGAUGCGCACGCUGUUGGACUUAGGCAUGGUGAGGUGAUGAGACUAGAUCAGGUUUUGUCUCGUAAUUUACGCUGGGUCCAAUAGUCCGUUUUUCUUUUUUCUCUCUCUAUUCUUCCCAACCUGUGCAGAGACAAUAUAUUUUUCUCCCGCCGUUACGAAUGUAAAGCGUAUUUUGGCUGUCAAGUAAGAAGUAUAAAUUUUUCACCUAAUCAACUAUGCAAAUCUCAGUACAAAAAUAUAUUUAUUUAAGCUAUUUGCUUUCUGGAGAAGACAAUAUACAUCGGAUCUGUUUGUCCUGGAUUUGGGGAUAUAUCAACAGCCUGUGAAGACAGAAAAGAUAAUGUUCGUGUUAUGGGGCUUAUCUGAAAAAUCAAAGAACUAUAUACCAUGCUUUAACUAUCAAUGAAUAUGCAAAUUUUGGGAUGAUGUUCAAACUUCAAUCCUUGGUAUAAACAAGAUGGCAGGCUUUAUUUAUUAUUCCAUUAUUAUUUGACUCUGGAUACAAGAAUAGACAAAUGGCAUACCUUGGGGGGCUCAAAACCUCCAGCGUAAUGGAAAUAAGCACCAACUAUCCAAGCAUGAUCAGCAUCGCCAGUUGAUGUCCAAAUAGAUAUAGCUUUGGUCCAAAAGCAGCGAUUCGAAAAACUAUAUCCAGAGUUAAAACUAAGUGCUUAGAGCCAAUUAUCAUCAAACAAAACUGGUAUCCAAAAACUAGUUCUGGUUAAAUGACAUACACCAUGGUAGUAAUGCUAGUUCCUACCUCAUGAUAGCUAACCCAGAUGGUUUAAGUACCCGUCGCAUCUCCUUGAAAAUAUCCAUUGGUUUUGUCAAGUAGUCUACACUAACCUGAAAGCAAAAAACAAGUUGUUAUCAAACUGUCCAUGCAGUUAGAUACAUAACCAAAAGAUACUUACUUAAAUAGGACCGGAUUCAUAAUAAGAUGACUGUACCACGUUGGUUAUAACAUCAAAAGUGUUGUCAUCAAAAGGAAGCUUUGGAUUCAGAUUGAGGUCUUGCACAACAUAUUCUGUCAAAACCUAUUAUCACAACAGAACAACCAAGAUUUAUUGUAAGAACAUAGGAUUUGUAAGAAUAAGAACUGGUGCAUGUUGCAAGACAUGUUAAUACUAGUACAAAGUCAUUUAUUGUAAGAAGUAUUUAGAAUUCUUUGCCCUGACCACAUUGUAGAGCAACCAAUGAAACUCAAUGUUACUGAAUUAUUUAACAACAAUAACAGCUGUCAAGGCUUUGAAGGAAAUGAAGAUAGUAGAUAGUAUCCAAUCGUUCGCUAUUUAUCCAGUUAGAGACAAAGACAGUUGAAGGUGCAUAGCUCUUAUUUUCCUCCUAUAUAUAAACAGCACGGAAGGUUUCAUUUUCUGAAGAAUUGUUUGUUUUGUAGCAAUACAGAUAGUGAAUACUACCGCAAACAGUCUCAGGUGAAUCAAAAUACAGCAUAACUCACCAAACGAGUCAAUUAUUGCUCAAUCCGUAAUGCUGGAUUGCUGCUAUCAGCUUAUCACUGAAAAAAUUUAGCAGAUCGGAUGUAAAAAAUAACACUAAUUUAGUAGGCAUGCAGUAGCAUAUCCUUUUUCAGCUCAUCUUCAUUGAUGUCCAAAUGAAUUAAGUGUGGUUCAUUUCAUAAUGGUUGCAACCAAAUGUACAUACAAAACGACAGUGAUUUAGUUAGCGUGAGGUACCGUAUUCUUUUUCAGCUCGUCUUCAUUCAUACCCAUCCCUACAACCUUCUCUUGCUUGUACCCGGGUGGAUAAUGGCUCACCUACAUAAGGUGGAGACCGUAAGGAACUUCGGAAGAAGACAUCAAGAAGAGAGUGGUAUCUUGUGAAAACAAAACCCCUACCCAGCUACUGCACAUGUCCAGGAUGGCCACGGCUGGAGUGUUGCUUGGAGGAAGAACUUGCGAGUAGUAUUUCGUGAGAGCCCUGAUUGCUUGGUCAUCAAUGUGCGUGACAAAACGGGGAGCAGAGUAGAACAGAGUAUCUGAUGACCUGCCAAGCAACCAGAAUGCAUCAGAAUACAUCAUCAGCGCACCAGGCUUUUUUUUUUUUUUGCGGGGCCAGAUACUUACUCGUCGAAGCGGCUGAAGUCCUCGGGCUUGAAAGGGAACUCGUCUGGCCACUCCACAUUCUUCAAUAUCUACAGACCGGCGCCAGUAAUUAGCUUCAGAAGGCGCAAUUUAAACGCAAUGCCUCGCCGCGGGUGCCGGCGUGCCGUGCCGCGUCCUAUGGCACUAGGAUGAAGGCAUGAAGCAAGGAACGUACUGUACAUGUGACGCAUACGAACCUGUUCGACCGGAGAAACCCCCUGCUUUGGCCACGCCGCGGCCACGAACGAGCGGGACGGGACGCCGCCGGAGGCCAUACGUGCGAGCUGGUCGACGAAGGCAACGCCGAGGCCGAGGAAGACGCGCCGCGGCCGCGCGGCCUUCAGUGGCAAGGGAGUGCGGCAGACACGUGGGGCGGCGGCGGCGGCACGGGUGCGAAGCGUUCUAGGGCGAGACCGUUUCAGAGCGACGAGGAGGAGGUCAGGGCGUGUCGCGAGGGUGGCCAUGGAGACGACGGGCAGACACGGCGGCGGUUAGGAGGGGAACGCGACGCCAUGUGUUAUGGUUGGGGGCGCGCGAGAGAGGGCGUCGUGGCGCCACGCGCGUCGCAGAGGAUUGGGAUUUCGUUUUUGCUGCCCUUUGGCUGCUAUCUGCUGCCAUGUGGCCAUGUGGCCAUGUGGGUCCUGUUUUGUCUGCUUGAGCCUUUCCAGUUUCCAAACAUAUUCCCAUGAUCCAAUGUCUUUUCAAAACUCAACGGAACAGAGGGCUUGUGUUUGAGCUCCAAUUCUAUAUGGCAUCUCGCAAUUCCCAUCUUUUUUUUUUUGAAACGGACGCAAUUCCCAUCUUGGUACUAAGGAGAAUGAACAAUAGGGCAGUAGUGGAGGAUGAAGUUCAGAGGAGAAGCAAUGCAUGGGGAUGAAUGGUUGGAAAGAGGAGCACUGAGAAAGGAAUUUCUUUCUCACUGUUCCUCCGGCAUUCCUUUCUCACUGUUCCUUCUCUUUCCAACCACUCUGAAAAAAUCGUUAUAAAAAUGUGGUGCAGGCUCGCUUCGAAAUAGAAACGGCUGAUACGAGAUAAUGGAGAGAAAGAGAGAUCCGUGGACAUAUGAUUGCUGGAAAAUCAAGUUUGUGGGCCCAUCCACUUAGGUUGCUUCAGUGGAGCGUCCCAUUUUUCUCCGAUCGCUCCAUAGAUAAGAACCACUUACUCCCUCUGAAUCAUAAUAAUGUAAGUGUCGUAUUAGUUCUCAGAAACAGAUACCGAAAAAAAAAAUCUCAGAAACAGAGUUGCAUCGAAUACGUGCUCUCGCGAAAUGCACGAACUUGCCAAUUUAAUCAAGAUUGAAACUACGGCGCGUAAUUGCGGAUGCACGUCAUUUGUCUCGGACAUUUGUCGGAUCCUUCAUCGGUGUGCAGGGUACGGCGAGUCAUCGGUGCUCUUUUUAGCCGCUUCUUCGCAGCUUUGCUCCGUCGGCGGCGGUGAAUACAAAUGCAGGUGAAGAAUAUGCCUGCUGAUGUACUAUUGAACUUCUGCGCCCUUUCUCUCUGAACCGUCCGUGGCUACGAGACAAACCACAAGGGGCGACACAAUACCUUUUUUAGUAGCCUUGCUAUUUAUAUAUUGACGUGACAGCUGAUUAGAUCAAAGAUCACCAUUAGUUUAGUAGCCUAAAUGUCUAAUGUGUAGCCGUGAACUCCUUUACUAAAUUUACCGGGGCUACACAUUUUCGACUGUCUUGCGCAAGCUGCGUGUCCGAAUACGCUGCGAAUUCUAGCAAGCAAAAAAAAAAAACGCCGCAUGCAAGACUUCAUGCUCAAUGCAUUAUGCAUGCCCGGCGAGACAAACUUUUGGUGUUGGUUGUAGAGUCAGCUCAAGCUGUCCAGCACAACUGCACAAGCUUGCAUAUAACCAUCAGAAAGAUACCAGUUUCGGCACGGAAUCAUUUAGGUCCGGAGUCCGGACAAGAACUCUACACAAUCGAGCAACAAUGGGAUGUCAGUCAAAACUUUGUGGCUGCUAAUUUAUUUUAAGAUGGUUUUGUGUGACUGAUAUAGUACUCGUAGACCAUCAUUUUCUUUGCACAGCCACAGGUUGUUGUUUUCCUCGGGACACUCACUCUUGCAUUUGUUUAAGCACCAAGAUCGGUCAGCAAAAGACUUUCUUCCAAGAAAUGAGACCAGAAUUGCCAAAAUACUCCUACGAGACAGAUUCUAUGAUAGCAUAAUUGCACUUUGCGUCAUCUAAUCAAGAACAGGUUAAUUAACCGGACACCAUUGCUUUGGGUGCGUUCAUUUUGGUUUUUAGAACCGGUUUUUUCUAAAAACUGCCAUCACCUAACUUAUUGAAGAAACCGCAUCACAAAUUUAACUAGACUUCCGAAAUAGUUUAGGUCAAACUAGUUUGGUAGCUUAAUCAUAUUUAGGUAGCGGUUUCUCCAAGAAGCUAUGGUAGGACAGCUUCUCCCGUGGGCAACUACCUAAAGCUCAGGCCCACCAAGAAAACCUAAUAAAGAGAUCGAUCAUUCAUACGUGUUUGAAACUUGCAAGGAAGAAAGAAGUGGACCAACGUGACUGAUUGGAUGAUCAGCUGGACCACAGCAGGCACCACGAGCUCCAUGAUCCUAACAAUUCUUAUCAUAAUCAUAAGCCGUAGUGGGUAUUUCAUUCAAACGAGGACAUAGAACUUUCAAGGGACGGGGAGGAGAAGCCAAGCAACCCAUCACCCCCAAGAAUGAAUCGAGAUUUUUAUUACUGCAUCAUUUAGAGAACUUUUAUUUUUACACACACAUGAACAGAAGAACACUAAUCACUGAGAGCAGUAGGUAGGUUCCAGCUCUCGGCGUCCAAUCAGCCAAUCGCAAAGAGCCAUGUGGAAUUUACAGCUCACCCAUCUACACAAGAUUCUUUUCUCCUCAUCUUAUUCUUGAUUAUGAACAUUAUCUCGUCCCAUCCCCGCCUCCUGCUCUCCCCACCACCGCCGAGGGUACAGGCUCCAGAGCCGAGGGAUCACACAUCGGACGACCUGUACUUGUACACGUGCAAGCUCGCCUGCGGCGCCACGGCGGCCAGGAAGAUCCUGGCCAUCGCCUCCUGCGCCACCACCGCCCCGUCCUUCUCCACCAGCGCCGCCGCCACCACGUCGCCGGCGGGGCCCCCUCCGGCGGCGACCAUCGCAAUGAUGGCCGUCUGCACAGGUCCCAGUGUCGGGUUGUACGCCGCGGAUUCCAGGCAACCCCCCGCGUGCACUCUCCCUUCACCGUCCGCCACCGCGAAGCCCGACGGGCAUCCGCUGUACGGCGCGUGCGCCGCCCGCGCGGCCGCCUCCGCGGCCUCCCUCAGGCGCGCCUCCAGGCCGCCAGCGGCGAAGCCAUUGGCGACGACGGCUUCGACGGGAUCGCCGAUCGGGUUGUCGUGCGGCUCGAGGACGAGGGGGGCGUCCUUGGGGAGCAGGUCAUGGGGGCCGAAGGGACGAAGCAGGAGCGACGCCACCGUGCGCCACUCUGGCUCGCAGCCGUCGACGGCAUCGGAGGUCACCAGGAUCAGGAUCCCGGCGGCGCCGCGGAUCUCCUGGAGGAACUGCCGGCAGUGGCCGCAGGGCAUGUGGGAGACGGCGAUGGAGCGGAGCGCGGUCUCCCCGGCGGCGGCGGCGUUGGCGAUCAGGAAUUGCUCGGCGUGGACGGACUGGGACAGAGGGAGGCCCCGGAACUCGAGGUUCACCCCGGCGUAGACGCGGCCGCUCUCGCCCAGCCCCACGGCGCCCACGGGGAACCGCGAGAUCGGGGGCCGAGCGCGCCGCAUCGCCGACGGGAUCAGCAGGGGAAGGAGGUCCUCCACCGUGUCCACCCCGGCCGCCGCCGCCGCGCGCUCCGCUUCCUCCGCGCUCAUCACGAACCCUGGCAUCUCGACUGCCUCGGGCUUGGGCGUCAUCUUCUCCUCCCCCAUUGCUCAGAUCUAGCCCUAAACUACGUUAUCAGUGUAUAUAUGAUUUCUACCUCUUUGUAAUCUUAUUUUCGUUGAGUGCUAAGAUGUGUUCCUCAAAGUGUGGAGGAGAGGAGAGCGGGGGAGGGGGAGAACUUGGUGGUGCUGGUGUGUGGGUAUUUAUAAUGGACACUGCGAAUUGCUCCGUUUCUUUUCUCUUCCUUUUCCUAGUCUAAGCUUUGUAAACGAAAACGAUGGGCACCGAUAAUUAUCUGCCCGCUGUAGCAUUUGACGUGUCAUGGUGCAAUCUGACCACUUUGCCACGCUGGACACUGGAAUGAUAUCAUUGCCAAGAGAUGCUUGGAGCUGCAGAUCUGAGACGAACCAUGCCUCAGAUGGUUUAAAUCCAUGUAGCCAGCUCAUGCUCGAUCUUAUAACCCAUCCAUUUGAGAGAGAUGGAAUCUAAAAUGAAAUUUGCAGCGUACAUGUAGUACUGUGCAAACGAACUGGGUUUCAAAACUUUGGUCAAUCUUGACAGAUGAUAUUUAGUCGGGCGAUCCAAACGAUCCCCCAACUUGAUACUAUAGCCUGUACCCUACGAGAAAUGCAAGGCGCUGCGCAGAAGUUUCUUAAGAGGGUCGCUUUCGUGGCACCUCCCUUUUGUGAAUGCGCAGCUCUCGGAAGUACGAGUGGCGAUGAAGAGGUGACGGCGCCCGUAUUAUAAUUGAUAGGGUCGUCCUUCCUUACAGAAUUGUUAUAUUUCGGGAUCAUGCAUAUGGUUGCUGCCUGCCUCCCUCGUAUGCUUCACGUUCGCGAGUAGUAGAAAAUUGUUGCCGUUCAGACUUCAGGCUCCAUGCAGGUCUGAUCGUGACAAAUCGGAUGAUUAUCACGGUGCGAAAACGACGCCGCGCGAGGGACGAGGAAAUCAUUGCACGCCUUUCACGCCUGGCAAAUUCAAGAAAGGAGUUGUGGUUGGAGAGUUAUUAUUGGUUAUCAUUCACCACGAUUUCGACUAAUGGCCGAGUCGAUGAGUGCAACGUCGGUGCAGUUAGUAGGUCAGAGUUAGGACACGGUGUUGAUGGGGGUGCUACAUGUGCAAUGUGUUUGCACUUUGGAGCAAAGGCGAGGAGCCUCGACAGCCGGACAGGGACGCCUCGCUCCCGAGCACGCACAGAGCAAGCCAGUGAGGCGUGCAUCGGACUCGCACCACUGAACACCGAUGGGUUAAAAAGGCGCGGGCAGAGCAAAAGCAAAGCACUCGUCAAAGAGGUGAAUUUGGUGGUACUGUCUGAUUUGCGAGAUUGCUUUGCUCGGUGCGCAAAGGGAGGCAGUUCGAUCAGUCCCCGCCGAACAGACCGAAUUAGCUACGGAGUACAAAAAGAUAGCCGCUGAAUCAAAACAGAAUUAGAAAACACAUGAGUCAAUCAGAUUAUCGAUCAGACCACAAAUGCCAAAGGCAUGUGAUCCUUAGAUGUAGAUCGCUUAUCAGAAUAGAGCAACUUGGCUAUCUUGUACUGAAGCCUGAAGGCGAACGGAACCGGCUCCGAUCCUGUGGCUCCACGAUUCCUCCUCUGCUUUUGCAUGAUAUUUUUGGCUGCUGCGAACAUGGACUCCUGAAUUACCGUGAGCCAGGAACAAGUGCUAAAGCCUAAUGAUCAUGUCAUGUAUGCAUCUCGUCGAUCGAUGUGAAAUUGUGAAUAGAGACCACGGUCGCACGAAGAUUCCUGCUUAUCUGCAUCGCGAAGACCCUUCUCUGGAUAAGUUCUGAACUUCUUAUUCUCCAUCCUAAACUUGAUUCCAACUACCACUCUCUCUUUUCCACAUUAAAUUCUCGAAAUUACUGCAUUCAGAAAGGAUAAGGUUCGCCGUUCAAGCACCACGCCGCGUCCGUCCGUCCGUCCGCCCUUUGGCGUCUCGGCCUCCAUUUGCGGUGUGCGGUGCUGCUAGCUUCUGAUGAAGUGGAUACGUGCCCAUAUGUCACAAGGAAGCGCGCAUAUGUAAGCAGCAGUGCACGUCACGGAGACUUGAAGAGGCUAUCUAAACUCGGGGUCAGGUCAAGCACCCGCACACGGCACACUUGCCCAUCGACGUGACCGGCGCACGUGUAUGUCAUCCACCGGGGAAUUUGUCGUCCGGAUAGACCGUGAUACGACUUCUUUUGCUGGGUCUCUUAAGCCGUUCUUACCUUAGAAUCUGGGUCGAUUCUGACGCUAGGGAUGCUGGUUCGAGUGAUUUACAGGGAGGCAGGCUGGCAGCUACCGUUUGUUGUGUUUCGUUUUGUGCAUCCAGUUCAGUGAUAGUCAAGCAGCCGUGCGACUGCCAGUCGAGGCACGUCCUUGUUCGCGUCACUCGCUGCCCAAAGCAAUAAAAAUAUCGAAGGGUGCCAGUGAUUCAGUGAGUAGCUAGUGCGUGCUAGGAUUGUGAAAGAAUCUGGAGUAAACUUUGUUUACAGGCACGUCACUCAACUAAUCGAUUCAACGAAACCAGUGCACUCUAGACAGGUCCAGAGAUAAUCACAUUUCUUGCCCUGCUCUAAUUCCCUUUGUUUACGCUUUUACAAUGUAAAAACAGCUGGGCAACGGUGGUUAGUUCAACGGUGCCAUGGAAGUGGUAAGUAAAGUAUGAUUCGCAAUUGUCGCAGUAGCAAGACAUGUAUAGUAUUUUGAAUUCUCCCCAAUUCGCUUAUGCUCCUAAAAUGAUGCUACGACAUUACUUCAUCUUGCAACUUGAAGCAGUGAUAUGUCCUCUCUAUGCACUUGAGAGAAUCAUCAGCUGCCCAACCGCAACAAUUAGCUGAUCUUCAGUACUGGAGUAGUACUUCCUACGGUGCUAGUACACUAAACAUUCUGAAUCAGGUUCCGGUACCAACAACACCGACAAGCUACGGCGUACGGAAAUGUAACAGAGGCACGCAAAGGAUCGAACGCUGGAGCACUUCCCCUGAGCCUCACGGCCCGGGGACACAAAACAUUUCCCGCUCCAUUUUAAAAUCCUCGCCUUUUUCACGCCUUAACUUCCAUACCAACACAUAGAACAGAACCCGAAACAAGAGCAAUAUGCCACGACGCCCGGUCCGGGGAACCAUCUGCUUUCUCGCCAUCUCGUUGCUCCUGUGCACAGACGCCGGCCGGCCCUCCUACGCGCUCCAGCUGCUUGGCGACGACGAGGACGCCGACGGCGGCGACGGCUCGACGUCCUUCUCCUUCUCCUCCCCUCAGACGACGCCUGGCGGUCUGGCGUUCGGGUUCUACGACGGGACGUGCCCCGGCGCCGAGGAGACCGUGGCGUCCACCGUGCGGGAGCUCUACGCCGCGGACUCCAACGUCGCCGCCGCGCUCGUCCGCCUCUUCUUCCACGACUGCUUCGUCCACGUACGUAUACGAACGCCGACACCCGUAUGCUCCAUCAAGAUGUCUUUUGCCUGCGCAAACGCGCGCUAGCUCACGUACGCACACGCCAAGACGCCGUGCUCUGUUUUCUUUCUCUGCCUCGGGCGCGCAUUGCAGGGCUGCGACGCCUCGGUGCUCCUGGGCCGCGCCAAUGGCGCCACCAAGUCGGAGAGGGACGCCGCGCCGAACCGCUCGCUGCGAGGCUUCGGCGCCGUGGACAAGAUCAAGGCGAGGCUGGAGAAGGAGUGCCCGGAGACGGUCUCCUGCGCCGACAUCCUGGCCCUCGCCGCGCGGGACAGCCUCGUGCUUGUGGGCGGGCCGAGCUACCCCGUGCUCACCGGCCGCCGGGACAGCGCCGGGAGCUUCUACCGCGACGUGAACGUCCCGCCCCCCAACGCCACCUACGCGAUGACGCUCGAUUCCUUCGCGCGCCACGGCUUCACCGAGCGCGAGACCGUCGCUCUCCUAGGUACGCCCGUUAAAUCUUCGUCUAUCCGUUGGAUCGAGCUCCGUCUAUAUUUUGUGUUUGGUUGAUCCUUCUUAAUUGGCCGGCUUGUAGGAGCACAUAGCAUCGGGAAGGUGCAGUGCCGGUUCUUCAGGGACAGGAUCUACAACUUCGCCGGGACCGGCGAGCCGGACGAUUCCAUCGACAGGGACAUGGUCAGCGAGAUGCGAGCCGUGUGCGGCGGCGACGGCAGGGCGCCGAUGGAGAUGGGGUACUACCGGCAGGGCCGGGAGGUUGGGUUCGGCGCGCACUACUACGCGAAGCUUCUGGCGGGGCGCGGCAUCCUGCGCUCGGACCAGCAGCUCACGGCGGGGAGCACCGUGCGGUGGGUGCGCAUGUACGCGUCGGAGCGCGGCGAGGAGGCUUUCCGCGAGGACUUCGCGCACGCCAUGGUGAAGCUCUCCGCGCUUGCGCCGCUCACUGGGUCGGCCGGCCAGGUCCGCAUUACCUGCUCCAAGCCCGCUGUUUGAUUAUAUGGUCCAGCCCACUUCUCAGUCGGCCGGCCCUAUGGCUUGCAUUGGAUGGUGGGUAUUAAAGAGUCCACAUGAAAAAAAAAACGCAAUCUUGACUAACAGAGGCCUGUUACUAAUGAAAACUCUGGAAAAGGCCCAUGUAUUGAAAAGCCCACUACUUGAUCUAUAGUUCAGGAUUUUUCUUCCUAAUUGUUGUUGCAUAUGAAUGGUGGAAAUGUACUCAUUUUCUUCUUCUUAUGUGACAGUAUUUUAUCAGGCGGUGCUGCAGAGUUAGAGGUUUUUGUUGUUGUCUGCAGGUCUGGUGUUUCUGAUCUUGCAAAAUUUGGGCUUAUGUUCUAGCAGAAUGGUUCAUACUAUUCUGAUGAGUUAGAUAUUUUCUGCUAAAUUUGAGGUCAUUAAUCUUGUAAUCCCCCCUUUAUUUGUACAUUUAGCAUUGCAUUUGCAAGUUUCUUCAAAUUACUUGUAUGUUUAUACCUGACUCUAGUACUUAUUUCAUUACUCCACCUUUUAACUAAACCUCUCAUUUAUGCAUUCACCAUUAGGUGGCUAGACGCAGGUCAUGAGUAAAAAGUAAUAUUCUCUAUUUCUAAUUAGUUGUAUGCAGUUUUUAAAAACAAAAUAAUGCAAAGAGACAAAAAUAUCUCUUCGUCCGUUUUAUAAAGUAUUUCCAUGAAUCUAUUGCACCAUUCAUUUAAUAUUCUUCCCAGGUGCUUAGUCUCAUCUCGCUUCAUUUUUUUUCUUUUUAGAAAGAGCCGAAAAAUCUGAGCACCCACGUCAAGCUUGAAUUUGGAUGGACUGGUUCCACCACAGAGAACCACUUCAGCACCUUCCUUCAUCUAAAUACGAUGAUAACACUAAAUUGUUUGUCUAGAAAAAUUUAAAAACACGAUGAUUAACUAGGCUUUGAAAAUACAAGAAUUCGAAGAAAACUUGAUCGCAAUAAAAAACAAGAGACACGAGACGAAAGAUCAAAGAUGACUGCACAAAGGGACGGACCAUCACGUAUGAAUACAAGCUCAGCAUACCUGCGUACUAUACUCCGUAACUUUUUUUACAGCAGUUAAAUGUACAGGUGCUAUAAAUGUUCUCUUUUCAAUGAACAACAUCUCCGCGUUGACGAGGCUAUCUUUAGCCAACCUCCCCCCGUAUUCAAGCUUCACCGCAGCCUAUCACCAGUGAAUCACCAGAGCUCGCGCGGGCGGCAGUGAACUGACCAAUCACGGACGGGCGAUGGCAAUGGAGUGCGAAACACGGAAUCCAAACCAGGCAUUGAGGCACAGCCCCCGGGUUUCAAAAGUUUGAAGCGAGCCGUUUGUCUCGGUGUCCCGCAGGGAAUCCCAACGCGGAAAAUUUGCCCACGAGCAGCCCCCGCCCGCGCCUCCCACCCGUCGCUUGCCACCUUGCGCCCCCGCGGUUGGCCGCGCCUGCUCGCCCCGUCGGGCGUUGGCUCCCCCACCUGCGCCCGUUCUCAGAGCUCGCCCGCCACUUGGCACCGCUCCCCCCCGUCUCCGAUUCUCCGCCCAUCCGCCAAUAAAUGCCCCACGCGGCUCCAACCCUAGCCGCCGCCGCCGCGUCUUCCUCCAUCUCCCAACACCCCGACCUCCUCCUCCUCCUCCUCCUCCUCCUUCCGCUACACCGACAUGGACGGCGUCAGCAGCAAGCGCCGCUCCCCGUCCGCCUCCUCGACCUCCACCUCCUCCGGUGACGUCACCAGUGCAGCCCGGACGCAGCGGGUGACCCGCAAGCGCAGGUCCGGUGGACGCGGGCCCCGCCGCGGGGGCCUCCGGAGGCCGCCGGCGCACCGACCUGUGAGUGCCUCGGAAUUCACGGUCUCGUCCUGCUUCCGUGCGGUUCGUUGGCUCCUCCGUAUAUACUCUGUGGAGGUGGUGGGCCGUGUUGGCGGGGAGGUGCGGUGGGCUGGAGGCCCAGGGGAAGGGACGUUCGUUCCUUCUCGAUGAUGUUGCCCGAUUUUGAAUUUUGAUUGAUCGCGAGGCGCUUGCUAAUGUUUGUGGGCGAUUUUAUAGCUCCGAUCCACCCGAUCGCUGCUUUGAUUAGCGUGCAUUGUUGCGAGCCUAGGUGUUCUUUCGAAUUCCACGAUCAGGUUUGGACGAUCCACCGUACGUGUGUGUGCUUAGGUGUGAAUGUGAUCAAUUGACUACAUAUGCCCGGGUGUGGUCGUUGUUGCAAUGCUGUAGGUUAUUGUAAGGUAUGAUCAUUGUGUUUUUUUUGUUAGAUUUGAGAUCGUGAUGGCCCGUUAUUGGAUAGGUUUGGUCAAUAACACCCCUGCCAAAAAUGAUAUACUAAUUACACAUGUUUUGGGGCUAAUCUUAGUAAGAUUUCACGAUACAUGUGCCCUCAUGUGGCACACGGAUAGAGUAUGUCAUGUAGAGCUCUUCUUUUUUGCACCGGGUUAUACCGUUUCCAUGACUAGAACGGAUAUAUUGCAGUCUUAAGUGUAAACAAUGUUGCACAUGGUUACAAUAUGUCAUAUGGGCCUCAUCUUGCAGUUUCAUGGAAGAAAGUGUCAUCGGUUGCAAGUCCAUCUUGUAGUGGUUCCACAUUAUGGAUGUAGUUAAUGUGCAAUGUUAUAGUUGUAAUGUGAUGACACCUGGUCUGCUUUUAGGAAAAGAGGCAAGAGCUUUGCCUACUUAUAUAAAAUCAGAGCAGAUACACUCAGUAUUAGUUGCAAGUGCAUGACUUAGUACUUUGCACGCCGCACACAUCACAUCGACGUCGUUGUGUCCAGUGUACAGUUGUUAUAAUUACUUGUAUGGCCCAUGCUCUGGUAAACCAUCUUGCUGGCAGGCCUGGCACACCAUCUGCUAUGAAUGAAACAGUCUUGUUUCUGGUUCUUUGAUCUUUUGACCUAAAUGCAGUUUUCAGGUGCUAUGUUGUGUUUCCAUCUUUGGAUUGAACUUUUUUGUAGUGUGAUAUAUCGCCUACUUAAAGUAGAAGCUAUGAAAAAAUUCUGCCCUGUUCUUAAACAGGACUUCGAGGCAAGACACGAUGUGUCUCGCAUAAUUUCUGUUACUAUUGAUUGAUACAACAGGUGUAAGAGGGCGUGGGUAGUACAAUAGUAGAGUAAUUACUGUUUACUCUUCCUUGAUCAGCUGACUUAUAUAUUUCUGGUUAUUCACAAUGCAAGCAAGAGCGGCGAAAUCAAUUGCAUAUGGAGAUAAGAGCAUUGCAAAAUGAAUGUCGUGUUUCUGUACAUCAGAAUCGUUGGAUACUUGGAUCAUCACCUCUGUUUCCUCCUAUAUAUCUGGCUUGUUUGGAACAAACAGGCAGGAGUUAUAUACAGACAAAGAGGAAAGUAAAAAAAGAUAAACAUCAACACUUGCCAAAAAGGAAAGCAAGAGUUAAAGUCCUAGCCUCCUGGAAGUAGACUCGCUAACACCUAACAGUAGCUCCCAAAAAGAUCAAGAAAACCUGUCCAUAUUCUUAGCUAGCUGGUUUAAGGGUGCUAAACCUUUGUUUGGAAAACUCAGUUAUAUCUGGUUUGGUGAAACUAUUAUAUGUGGUACUUGAUAUUUUUGCUGCUUUCUCUCUAAAUGAAUUCAUUUUUUGAUAACAGGUAAAUGAGAUGGAUUUAAAUAGAGCUGUUUUUGAUCCAGAUGUAAGAUUUGUGCAGAAAAUCUGGAAAAUGUUCCUUUUCUUAUUCUGAGGAAAGAAAAGAGAUUAGUCAAACCAGUUUACAUUUCUCGGAUUAAAAAAAUUUCUCCGUUUUUAUGUAGCAUCAAGUGUUGGCUGGGUUGCAUGUUAUUCUGCAGAAGGAACUCCGAAAUAGUGACAUAAGCCAGCUUGGAAGAAUCAUUCUCCCCAAGGUGAGUCUUAUGCAAACAGCUUUUGCAAACAUCAUUUCACCCAUGUAUUCCAUAUAGACCAUGCUUUCUAGCUGUUAACACUUGUCUCACAAAUUAAUUCCACAGAAGGAGGCAGAAGCUUACCUCCCAAUUCUAACAUCAAAGGAUGGCAAAAGUUUAUGCAUGCAUGAUUUGCUAAAUGCACAACUGUGGACCUUCAAGUACAGGUUAGAUAUAUUGUAAUCUACUCCCUCCGUUCUAUAAUUCUUGUCUCAAAUUUGCCCAAAUAUGGAUGUAUCUAUUCCUAAAAGAUGUCUAGAUACAUGUAAUAUUUCGACAAGAAUUAUGGAACGGAGGGAGUAUUUGGCUUAAAAUGCUUGCUACUGGUGCCAUGUCAUACUUGACUUCUAGUAUCUCUCAGCUAUAAAAUUGGGUAAGUUCCUCCGAUAGAAGAAAACACACAUGGUUAAGUGAUCAUGUAUUUUAAUAUUCAGCCAUGACUAAGUCGAACAAGAAAUGAAUUUUAUCAGAUGAAGUAGGAUUUUGUGAAACCAUUAGAACUACAACAUGUGAAUAAAAAUCCUAUUAUGAAAGGGCCUCAUCCCUGCAUUUAUGUUCAACUUGGUCCAGCAUAUCCACUAAAAUGACACAGAUUAUAAUUUUCCAUGCAGAUACUGGCCGAACAACAAGAGCAGGAUGUAUGUACUUGAGAAUACUGGUGAAGAUCUUUACGUUCAUCUUUUUCCUUCUCUGUUCUCUGUUACAUUUGUAGAUUACUGUUUUUACAUUCCAUUUAUGGAUCAAUGUUCUUACGUUUCUCUUCUUCUUAAACAUCGUAGGGGAUUAUGUCAGAGCCCAUAAUCUUCAAGUAGGAGACUUCAUCAUGAUAUACAAGGAUGACAAUAAUAACAGAUUUGUAAUUAAUUUUCCUUCCUCAUUAUUUAAGCACUUUACUCAUUGAUGGCAUGCAGUUAGUACUUACUUAUUAUGUUAUAUUUUGUGACAUACAAAGGUCAUCCGAGCAAAGAAGGCGGGAGAUGAUCUAGCUGCUACUGUGCCACAAAUCGAUGAGCAUAUCUCUGUCAUGUUGCCAAAACCAGAAGUUGACGACUAUAUGUCUCUCAUUUCACCACAAGCUGAUAUUUCUGCCUUCAUGCCGCAAGCUGAUGAGAACUAUGAGAUAUUUGAUGGUAUUCUAAACUCUCUGCCAGAGAUACCUGCAGCCAAUGUGAGGUACUCUGACUUCUUCAAUCCAUUUGAUGAUUCUAUGGACAUGUCGAAUCCCGGACUGAAUGCCAACAACUCAGUUAACCUGAUGACGCAUUUCCAUGACGAUAAGGCUGGGCUUUCCUUGUUUCCCAACCCAAAAUCUGGGCCUCUCAUAUAAGAUUCAGCCAGAAAACUUCUGGAUCCUAGCAUAACCCUACAUGAGUUCAGAAUCACCAGCCUUGGACGCCAUUGCUGUACAUCCAAAUAAUUGGUGUCCUCAUUUUGUAUGUUGUAUAUGCUUAACUGCUUCUGCUUGUUUAUGAGUAAAAGGUUUCAAUUUUAACUCUUAACUGAAGGUUUCAUCAGAUGAAACGCUGUAGUGUUCAUUUCCGCUCAGAAGUGUUGUUGUGAUGUUUUCCAGCUCAUGAACGUGCCAAUAGAAAAAUGAAAGAUGACAUGUUCCUGGUAACAGAUACAAGCAAAUUUACCGGACGCAUAAUUAAACAACUUUUUUUUUUAAAGAACCACGGUAUGCUGCUGGGAUUCCAACCUCGUGUUGCUGGAUUCCCAGGAAUCUCAACACGGUUGGGCCGUUGGGCUUGAUACUCCUGUCCUGUGUAAGUAGAAACUCGCACCACGUACCGAGUUCUUAUUUCUUUUUUGAUAUCGUAGACAAAUACUUCUCCAGUACGCCAAGGUUAUUGCAACUCUUCCGGUUGAUUGGUUUUCCUAUCUGUCAAUUAGAUAAGCAUAUGAUACUCGUUCAAAUUUAUCCGCCUUUACUUGGCACGUAGUCUUUGCUCGACUACAAAAGAAAAAUGCAGCAUAUAAUCAAUCAACAUUUUAAGCAUUGAACGUUAUGGCUGGAGGCCGAUGGCAAGAAGAAUAGCUGCAGACUGAUUCCUGCAAUCCUGCUGUUUUCAUUAGUUCUGAGUACUUUAGCCGUCUAGUUUUGUCGAAGCCCGGUUGAGGCAUUCCUUCUUGUAAAUUGUAAUGUCUCUUGGAACAUCUCCAACAGCAUACCCAUAUUUCUCUAGAAUAUCUAAAAACUGUUAAUAGGGGUAUUUUGCCCUAAAAACUGGCUCCAAAAGCAUAUCCAUAUUUGUUGGAUACCUAAAUCCUUUUGGGUAGCUACCCAUAUUUUAGCCCCAAUACCCAUAGCUACCCAUAUCCCACGCGCGAAGCAGACCGCCACAAAACUGAAAUUUCAGCCCACUCCUCCUCCCGACCCGUCGGCGCUGGUGCCGAUUCCGGCCACCGGACCUCGCGGCCGCCGUCCCCGCGCUGCCGGCAGCUCCGCCUCGCCACUACGCACCUCCCGGCCGUCAUUCCUCGCCCCGACGAGCAGUAGGGGGUGCUGCCAGAGCUCCAACUGCAGCAGCGACGUCCAUGCGAUGCCGCCGCCAUGCACGAAGAAGAAGGCGUCACGCGCCCUUCGAUCUCCUGCCCCAGCGACGUCCCCCGACGCUUCCCGCCCCCACCAAGGCUUCCCCCGCGACGUUGCACCGCACCUACCGCCGCCCCGCCCUCCUCGUGCCGGUGCCCUCCCCAAGAUCCAGUAGCUCUGCAAGCUCUGUCCAGCCGCCCACCCCCGUCAACGUCGGUGUCUUCCGCCGGCCCGCCCUCCUCGCGCCAGUGCCCUCCCCAAGAUCCAGCAGCUCCGCGAGCUCUGUCCAGCCCCCGCCAUCGCGGCCUAGCUAGCGCCGCCCACCCCCGUCAACGUCGGUGUCCUCCGCCACCCCGCGCUGCCUGCUUGACUUCGAUUUGGAUUGGGAUGCGACAGGGGAGAGAAAUCCGGGAGAGGCAAGAAGAUUUGGAUUGGCUUCUUGCUUCGAUUUGGAUUGGGAUUUGGUGUGAAGGGGGAAGAAGCAGGGUCUGCCCAAUGACAGGUGGGCCCGGUAGAAACUGCCCAGCAUAUGGGUAUCCAAGUUUAGGGAUGCUGCAAAAGAAGGACCAGUUUUGAGUACCUAAAAUUUCUCUCUCCUAUACCCAUAUUGGUUUUCGGUACCCAAAAUAUGUGUAUGCCGUUGGAGAUGCUCCAAGUACUUCGUUUUUGUUAUUUCUUCAGAACUGUAGACUCGUAAGUACUCUUGUAGACUAUCGGUUUCGUUAAUGAAAUCUGGGGCUAUUCUCCUUUAUUCGAAAGCUGUCAAAUCGUUAUAUCGUUAACUAUUGUUGGACUUAAACAUUUAUAGGAAUGACAUUUACAUGCACUGGUCAUGAGUAGAGUACCAAUAACAGAGGAGAUUAGGGGUUCCAUACUUGAAGAUGACAUAGUCGUGAUGUUGGUAUAGCGAGCCGUAGAUGUAGCAGUGGUCGUAGGACGGCGCUGUCCAGAACGUCGACGGCAGUAGCCGUCGGUGUGGCAUCGGCCUUCCUGUGCACUUCAGCACCUCCCUAGAUCGGUAGGGGUCGUUAGGUUGUUGGGUAUGGUGAUAUCCUCGCGUGAACCAGAGAGAACCCGAGCGAGCCGGACUCCCCUUUAUAUAAGGUGUUGCGCGACGAGAGGCCGAAACCAUAAGUUGGUUAGUGCCCCCAUCAGGACGCGAUCAAUGGGAUUAAGUACAUAAACGUUGGUUUAUGGCCCUUCCCUCAUCAAUUCCCUAAAUCAACGCCCCUUGAUUAAAGGCAUGAUUUAUGACAUUUAUUCCGGUUAAACCAAAUCAACCAACAACUAUCUCUCAAAACAAAAUGGACAAGAAUCGUGGACUCCCACUCAGGACAUUGUAGUUCCCAGCCGGACACUUGGAAAAUCGUUUUGGCCCACUUGUAGUUCUGGAGUAGAUAAUUUAGUUUCUCUUUUUUUGAGAAUGAUUCAGUCCCUCGAUCUCUUUUUUUUUGAGAAUGAUUCAAUUCCUCGAUCUUGCCCACAGGCUAAUGGACACGGCAAACGCGAGUAGGCAGAAAGAUCGUGGAGUGUGGCCAGUAGUAGCAGUUGGUGGCAUCCAGAAAUGGACAAACUGACGCACCAGUUGCGUGGCUUCCGGAUGAAGGCCGGCCGAUCAAACACCUUGACAAGGAGGAAGCAGAUUGCCAAGUGUCGAGAUGCUGACUCAACAAAACUGCGUAAUUUAUCAUGAAGAGAAGCACGCAACAUAUCGCACUUUGAAAAUCAUUGGGAACGGGUACCAGAUUUACGCAAGCGCAAGGCAUAACGGCACGAUCCCUUCAUCAUCACAGCUAUCUUUUUUUUCUUUUUUUUCGAGAAUCAUCACAACUAGCUAGUCUCAUGGAGCAGCUAUCUGAUCGAGUGGCCACACAUAUGCUGCACGGAUUCCCUUUCUGGCGUCUAACCGCCCAUAUCACGCGGGGCGGUUAACUUUUUGUGCAAAAUAUCCGGCUGGAGCCCUACUUCCUUCCUUAUGCUCUCUUUCACGUCCAGAUUUCUCUCCUUUCAUCUCUCCCGGCGCUUCUCUUCCUCCCAAGUCCCAACACUUCUUCCUCUUGUUGACCGAGAAAGCGGCGCAGGCGAGCUGGAGCCGGCGAAGCCUCGGUCGUCCGCGGCGGCGACGGUGAGGGAGAGGCCUAGAUCGAGCCGCGGCGAUGACAGCGGAGGCGAGGAGGCGACGGUGGAGAAGAGAUAAGCCCCGAUGACCUAACUUAGGGUUGGGGGGUGUUCGCCGACGCCGGAGAAGACAACCGUACCCGGGCUUAGAGGGAUGGCCGUGGCGGCGGCGGACCGGCGUUGGCGGCGGCUGGAGUAGGCGGGGCGGUGAGGUGUCGCGGUAGAAAAAAAUAAUGUAAAGUUUUGAACUUAGAAAUCGAACAACCUCUAACUAAUACUACAAAUUAUAAUCCAACCAAAUUCUUUUGAAUAUCUUUUAGUGAAAGAGACACCUAUUUAUCUAGCCACCGGGGCAUGCUCGCACUGGAACCGUGCUACUACCGGCUAGGUGGAAAGAGCAUGCUAAAAGAAAUGAGAGGAGAGGACGCAUAUCAUAUCCGUAUGGUAACAAGGCAAUAUUUUGUUGGGAACAAGUGUGCAACGAAAAAACGGCAAAUCACACAUCGCAAGAGCCGGAAAUCAAUAACAGUACGAGCAUCGUAUUAAAAAAACUGUGCAUGAAGGAGCACAUUGCUAGAUCACCGGUGCUACCCUUCUUCUAUGCAGAGAGUCGGGGACGAUGCAAAACUUCAGGAAGGAAGGAUGGAGUGCAGACAGGCACGGACAGGCGUGACGUGACCAACUCGCCAACAGGAAUUUCUAUGCAGGGAGGAGGUCCAGUGGUCCAUGAACCGUACUAGGUGACGCGAUGCCGGAACCUCCCUGGGGCCUGGGGGUCGACCCCGGAGCGACACAUGGCUGAGCCUGAGGACUGAUCAAGGCAAGACCACCGCGGUCCGGUCCGCGGUGGAGUGGGGGGAAGACAGUGCAUGCGCGGAAGAAGUGCCGUGCGCUCGCCGGUCGCCACGCGCGGCACGGUACUGCUCGGAGACUAAAAAAAUCUGUCGUCCAUGAUUAGAAUUCGGAGAAAAGUCUGUUUCAAACCCUGACCUCGUACUCAAAGUCUGAAAAAAACCUUCACUUUCUAAUCCUCGGAAUCUGAACCCUAACCUCUAAAUCCCGGCUAAUCCCCGCGUGCUUUCCUGCUAAUCUUGUUUGCCUAACUCGGGUUGAUGAUGUGGCAGGGAUUAAGGGUUUGGCCCACCUGCCAGACGGCCCACCUAUCAUUUAUAACCCCUCCUUCUCCCCUGCCCUUCUCUUCUCUGAUCUUUCGCCCGGCACUUCACCUGCCUCCCUC
Molecule: long non-coding RNA, 30248 nt
Filed under: Brachypodium distachyon (stiff brome)
Lineage: Eukaryota; Viridiplantae; Streptophyta; Magnoliopsida; Poales; Poaceae
Description: long non-coding RNA (BDIS_LNC002599)
Rfam family: MIR1120/MIR1122 microRNA precursor family (bases 24539-24663)
Source: RNAcentral